AGAGUAGAGAAUAUAUUCUGAAGGAAAUGCUACUUUGGAGAUAUAUUUUUGGGAAGUCAUGGUACUUGGUUGUGCUGGACUUUCCAGGAAGCAUGUCUGGACUUUAUUUUUUGAAAUAGGUAACUUUGUAUUCACACAAAAGAACUCAUCAAAAUCGAUGAGGUGGGAUUUACAAACCCCCAGGGGGUGCCAUCAUACUCAAAUCCAAAAAGCAAAACUAACUUUACAAUUGGCUUUUAAACUCCACAAGGCUAUCUGCUUCCCCCACUAAAUUUUGCUUACACCAAAAAUACAAAAGACUAAGACAUCUCAUCUUGAUCUCCUCUGGGCUGCUAACCUUUCCUUCAAAAACAUCUCCCAUUCCUUUCCUUCCAUAGUGUCCACCAUAUGCAAGCAGGGAUAUUUUUCCACCAGUCCUCUGUUGAUCCUCUCUUUCCGAUUCCUUGCCAGUGUGUUAGGACCUCAAAAGUGGUUCUGGGCAUUGUCCAGUUAACCCCGAGUAUACAAACGAACAUGUUCCACAGAUCUUUAGCUAUCUUGCAAUGCAGAAACAGAUGACCAUUUACUUCAGUCUUCUGUCCGCACAUGUAGCACUUUGAACAGAUCUGUAUACCUCUUCUUUGUAGCACUUCAUGGGUGAGACAAGCUCUUCUAAUUACCAACCAAGUGAAACAUGCAACUUUUAAAGGAACCUUAAUUUUCCAGAUUAAUUUCCAGGGCCAAACUGUUGUCAAUGAAUGAUUAGUAUUCCUCUCCCAAUAGCAUGAUUUAACUGUAAAACCCCCUCUGCUAUGCAGUCUCCAAACUGGUUUGUCCGGCUCUGUGACAGUGCCUGGAAACAAGUUUAAAGCAUGCAGUAGGUCUGCUACUCUUCCAACCUCCCAAUCAUUUAGAGCCCUUCUGAACAUAAGGUCCCAACCUUGAGGGGUCCACAUUUGCGCUAUAGUGUCAUUCUGCUGUAGACUGAUAAUGUACAGAUCGGGAAAAAGUAUCCUCAGAUUUACGUCACCUAACCAGGUCUCGUUCCAGAAACUGGUCUUCAAACCAUUCCCCACUCUGAAGGUCACCUUUGCACUGAAAUCAGGCCACAUUCUCCUGAUGGUUUUCCAUACAGAGCACCCAAAAGUGCCAUUCACCUCUUCAGUUAUCCAGUUGCUUUGUAGGUCAUAUUUCUCUGCAAUAAACCUCCUCCAUAAUGCCAUAUCUUCACAACAGAAUCUCCACAACCAUUUUUGCAGCAGGCUGGUGUUCUGAGUACUCAAUUUCUUAAUGCCCAGACCUCCUUGUGCUUUGCUCAUUGUCACCUCUUCCCAUUUAACCAGGUUGUAUCCUUGCUUCUCUUUAUUUCCUUGCCAGAGGAAGACCCUUCUCAGCUUGUUGAGUUUCUUUCCAAUACUUUUUGGUAGUGGGAAAAGACUUAGCAUAUAAGUCGGAAGUGCAUCCAGAACUGAUUUUAUGAGAGUCAAUCUACCUCCCAGGGAUAUAUAUUGACUCUUCCACCUUGUCAGCUUCCUUUCACUUCUCUCCAGAACUUCACUCCAUACUUCCAAUUUUUUGGUGGGAAGAGAAGCUACUUGGCAGCCCAGGUUGUCGGCAAGGCCUUGCAUGUCAUUAACUUGAUUAACCGGGAACAAGCAACUCUUCUGCCAGUUCACAUGUAGUCCUGAUAUGCCUUCAAAAAUGGUUAGUAUUGCCCUCAAAUGUCUAAUUUGUGACACUUCUGCACCACAGAACACUAAAGAGUCGUCCGCAUAUAGAAGGUGUGUGACCUCCAUAUUAUUGGCUCUGGACUUUUUCAGACAGCAUUUUAAAAGAGAAAAGAUUCGGAAUUUUAAAAGGCUAGAUAGAUAUCUUCUAAGCCAGAACAUACAACAGAUCUUCUAAGCUGUUGGAUCAGGAGAGGGGGUAGCAAAUCCCAGGAGAGAUGGUGGAGAGAAGUUUCUUCAUGUAUUUGGUGGACAAUAUGGAAGGAAAGAAAUGGG
Molecule: long non-coding RNA, 1982 nt
Filed under: Solanum tuberosum (potato)
Lineage: Eukaryota; Viridiplantae; Streptophyta; Magnoliopsida; Solanales; Solanaceae
Description: long non-coding RNA (STUB_LNC006791)
Source: RNAcentral